Non-coding RNA from Cicer arietinum (chickpea), 74 nucleotides. NCBI's taxonomy places the organism in Eukaryota, Viridiplantae, Streptophyta, Magnoliopsida, Fabales, Fabaceae. The record is from Rfam.
AGGAAUGUAGCGCAGUUUGGUAGUGCACUUGUUUUGGGUACAAAAUGUCACAAGUUCAAAUUUUGUCAUCCCUA